RNAcentral lists this ribosomal RNA (301 nucleotides) under uncultured bacterium. RNAcentral describes it as "partial 16S ribosomal RNA". It matches the Rfam family "Bacterial small subunit ribosomal RNA", at positions 509 to 807 of the family's 1533-position model. The record is from RNAcentral.
CAGCAGCCACGGUAAUACGUAGGGUGCAAGCGUUAAUCGGAAUUACUGGGCGUAAAGCGUGCGCAGGCGGUUCGCUAAGACAGAUGUGAAAUCCCCGGGCUCGACCUGGGAAUGGCAAUGGAUACUGGCAAGCUAGAGUGUGUCAGAGGAUGGUGGAAUUCCCGGUGUAGCGGUGAAAUGCGUAGAGAUCGGGAGGAACAUCAGUGGCGAAGGCGGCCAUCUGGGACAACACUGACGCUGAGGCACGAAAGCGUGGGGAGCAAACAGGAUUAGAUACCCGCGUAGUCCCUGUCUCUUAUAC